Non-coding RNA from Oncorhynchus mykiss (rainbow trout), 637 nucleotides. The record is from RefSeq and is a predicted model, not a curated record. NCBI's taxonomy places the organism in Eukaryota, Metazoa, Chordata, Actinopteri, Salmoniformes, Salmonidae.
CAUCAGCACGAGAUUGGAAGUGCGUCAAAUCUGUACAGCAUUGUUACGUCAUCACUGAUAAACGUUGAAACUGAUGAGAAACCGCGGGAGCAGUUCAGUCUGAUUCUCGCUAGUCCUGGAGGAGCGUUCAUUUUGGCAAGGAAAUGUGCUGAUUUUGCAAGGACGUGAGAAGAAAGAGUUCAAGAUCUGAUAAAGAUCACAGAGAGGUUGAGAGACAGACCAAGUUGGAAGAGGCUGUUCUAGAGACAGAUAUCCCAACUCUGUCACUAGAGGCUGAAGGAGAGAUUGAGAUGCAGGAAGCUGAUCUGAAGACAGAUGGCACAUCUCAGUCACAGGAGGUUGAAGGAGAGAGUGAGUUGGACGAGGCCAUUGUCAUCCCAUCUCAGUCACAUGAGGUUGAAGGAGAGAGUGAGUUGGACGAGGCCAUUGUCAUCCCAUCUCAGUCACAGGAGGAGGCCAAAGGAGAGAGUGAGUUGAAUCGGGUUGAUCUGAAGACAUCCACAUCAACUCUGACACUGGAGGUCGAAGAAGAGAGUGUCAUGCAGGAGAGUGAUGAUGUAGAAACAGCCGGGCCAUCUCAAUGCCAGGAGACUGAACGAGUGGCAAAGGUAAAUGCUUCCAGAUAACAGUGUGUGUG